CACUAGUGAUUGGUGUUCUUCCCGAUAUCUACACAUUCCACCGUUACACCGGGAAUUCCAGUCUCCCCUACCGCACUCAAGCCCGCCCGUACCCGGCGCGGAUCCACCGUUAAGCGAUGGACUUUCACACCGGACGCGACGAACCGCCUACGAGCCCUUUACGCCCAAUAAUUCCGGAUAACGCUUGCACCCUACGUAUUACCGCGGCUGCUGGCACGUAGUUAGCCGGUGCUUAUUCGAAAGGUACACUCACCCGAAGGCUUGCUCCCGAUCAAAAGCGGUUUACAACCCGAAGGCCGUCAUCCCGCACGCGGCGUCGCUGCAUCAGGCUUGCGCCCAUUGUGCAAUAUUCCCCACUGCUGCCUCCCGUAGGAGUCUGGGCCGUAUCUCAGUCCCAAUGUGGCCGGUCGCCCUCUCAGGCCGGCUACCCGUCGUAGGCUCGGUGGGCCGUUACCCCGCCGACUACCUGAUAGGACGCGACCCCAUCCCAUACCGAUGAAAUCUUCCCCGGAAGGACAUGCAUCCAACCGGAGCAUCCGGCAUUACCACCCGUUUCCAGGAGAAUCGAAUUC
RNAcentral lists this ribosomal RNA (572 nucleotides) under uncultured Bifidobacterium sp. RNAcentral's name for it is "partial 16S rRNA". The record is from RNAcentral. Lineage: Bacteria; Bacillati; Actinomycetota; Actinomycetes; Bifidobacteriales; Bifidobacteriaceae.